This 82-nucleotide transfer RNA is filed under the name Archangium sp. RNAcentral's name for it is "tRNA-Leu". It matches the Rfam family "tRNA". Rfam says of the family: Transfer RNA (tRNA) molecules are approximately 80 nucleotides in length. Their secondary structure includes four short double-helical elements and three loops (D, anti-codon, and T loops). Further hydrogen bonds mediate the characteristic L-shaped molecular structure. tRNAs have two regions of fundamental functional importance: the anti-codon, which is responsible for specific mRNA codon recognition, and the 3' end, to which the tRNAs corresponding amino acid is attached (by aminoacyl-tRNA synthetases). tRNAs cope with the degeneracy of the genetic code in two manners: having more than one tRNA (with a specific anti-codon) for a particular amino acid; and 'wobble' base-pairing, i.e. permitting non-standard base-pairing at the 3rd anti-codon position. Lineage: Bacteria; Pseudomonadati; Myxococcota; Myxococcia; Myxococcales; Archangiaceae. The record is from RNAcentral.
GGGCAGAUGGCGUAAUUGGUAGCCGCGCCAGACUUAGGAUCUGGUUCCGCAAGGAGUGGGGGUUCGAGUCCCCCUCUGCCCA